CCCUUAGAUGUUCUGGGCCGCACGCGCGCUACACUGUUCGCCGCAGCGAGUCUUAACCUUGACCGAAAGGUUUGGGUAAUCUUCAGCAAAGUCGAACGUGAUGGGGAUCGAUCAUUGCAAUUAUUGAUCGUGAACGAGGAAUUCCUAGUAAGUGCAAGUCAUCAGCUUGCGCUGAUUACGUCCCUGCCCUUUGUACACACCGCCCGUCGCUACUACCGAUUGAAUGGUUUAGUGAGAUCUCUGGAUUGACGCUGGCUAGGGGGCGACCCUUGGCCAGGCUGUCGAGAAACUGCUCAAACUUGAUCAUUUAGAGGAAGUAAAAGUCGUAACA
Molecule: ribosomal RNA, 331 nt
Filed under: uncultured eukaryote
Lineage: Eukaryota
Description: partial 18S ribosomal RNA
Rfam family: Eukaryotic small subunit ribosomal RNA
Source: RNAcentral